Molecule: small nuclear RNA, 97 nt
Organism: Anopheles maculipalpis
Lineage: Eukaryota; Metazoa; Arthropoda; Insecta; Diptera; Culicidae
Source: RefSeq, a predicted model, not a curated record
GUCUUAGCUACGGCUAGACAUAUACUAAAAUUGGAACGAUACAGAGAAGAUUAGCAUGGCCCCUGCGCAAAAAAUGCACUAGAAGAAUCAAUUUUCU